UUUUGGGUAGGGGUAAGACUGCCUACAUAUUACCCUCCCCAGACCCCACCUGGUGGGAAUAUACUGGGUAGUUGUUGUUGUUGUUGUUGUUGUUGAUAUGAGAGUUGUCCAAAAAGGGUUCGAGGACAGCUACGAAGAAGAGUUUGUGAAUUUGUUUCAGGAGUUUGGGCCUUUCAAUAGCCCCAGAGGUCCUGAUGCCUCUUACAUUCCAAAUGAUUGUACUAAUCAUUGGAAAGAAGGCUCGAGCCUGUGUUUUGGUGGGACACUUGCUUCUAUUUUUUGCAGCUCUACUUCAGGUGAGACUAGGAUAUGGGUUUUUUCUGGCAGAUAAAGUGACAUUAUCAGCCUUUUUCAUUUUUGAUUUCCCAUUAACUGCAGUAAUCAGCAUUUCACAGUGUUGUUCUUCUUCAGGGAUUUCUUCACUACAAACACUUUCAACUUCCUGAUUCCCAUCACUUUCAUCCUCAGACUCAACUUGUUUGUAUUCAUCCUAUUGAGGGGUGUAUCUGUUAAGAGGGCAUGAAAAGGUGAGUUUGUGAGUUUUGGACUUAAGGUUUUCAUAUUUGGUGGGAAGUCUGAAUCAUUACCAUCUGAAGGCGGUUCUUUGUCAUUUAGAAGUGGUUGGGAUAGGGAUGGAUUGGCAAUGACUGAGUGCCUGUAAGCAGGAGAUGAUUCAUCAAGGAUCAAGGAUGGUUUUUUGGUGGGUGAUAGAAUUCAAAUUCUGGGAGAUAUCAGGGGGUUCAUUUAUGCUUAUUCCUGCAUUUCUGUUCUUCAUGGAUUUCCUCUUUUUCUGGCUAGGUUUAUUUCUGGUUUUUUGAACCUGAAUUGGGAAAUCAAUAGCAGCUUUAGCUUUUCCUUUGAAGAGUGCUUUCAUUUGUGAAGAAGGAUCUUAUUCAGAGCAUUAAGAGGCUGAGGCCUCCUCAAAUCUUACAUUAUCAAAUUUCUGAACUUGUUCUUUACUAGACUGAGAAAGUAUGGUUGCAGAGGUUGAUUGGUCAAUCUUAUGGUCAGUCAAAAUGUGCAGAAGCACACUCAUGCGAAACAUGAGGAAACCCUCCCCAUAUGGAAACCCUUCCUGUCUACCUAUAUGUUUCUCCUGACAAAUCACCUUUCCUCCUUCAGCUUCACUAGAAUUAACAUGGGGAAUUUUAGGGAAUGGGGUUGCUCUGAGCAACAGAGUCAACAACAAUAGAAAUAACAAGGGGGUUUGGGGGGUUUUGGGCACCAGAUCUUCACUCCUCUCCAGAUGAGUUGGAGGAUUGAUAGAAAGCAUACCUGAGGGGUGUGUGUCCUUAUGCUGUUUUUCCUUUGGUGUGGGCUGGGAUUACUGAGUGUUUGGUUGUUUUUGUAUGUAGACUUGUCAUUGUCUCUUUGUUGGAGUGUUACUUCUUCUUCCUUUGUGUUUUCCAUUCCUUUGUUGAUAUUUCCUCUAUUGCAUUUUGUUGUUCUACUAGUUUUUGGUGCUUCUUUGCCUUUGGUUUUUCAUUAUGGUCUGAUGCUCCCUUCUUUGGUUUUCCUUGCUGGUUGUUGUUUUGCUGUUGCUUGCUUGAUUCUGUAUGAUUUGUGAUUUUCUGUAGGUUAUUUAGGAGAUUAGUAGCUACUGCCUCAUUUUCUUCUUCUUUUUUUCUUUUUGUUUCCAAAUCCCUUUAUUUGAUAGGGCAGACUUGUGCAUUUUGGCCAAGAUGUCUGCAGUGGGUGCAAUAUGAUGGAAGGCUUUCAUAUUGGACUUCAAGCCAGUGCCCAGCCCCAUUCACAUCCUAUUCUUCAUCAUAGCCUAGCCAAACAUUAGUUGGCCUUUCCUUGGUAAGAUCUAUUUGCAUUUAUACUUUCACAGCACUACCUCUGGUCUUCUGGAAGGAUGCAAGAUCCAGAAAAACUGCUUUUCCAAUGGGAGAUAGAAGGGGAAAUAAAAUCUCCUUGUAGUAGAGAUGACAUGGGAGUUCUGGGAUCAUGAUCCAUACAGGUACAAUGGGGGAGUCUUCAUUUGGUUUGAAAAUUGGAUUCCAGGCUUCAAUUCUCAUCAUCUGACCCUGUAUGUACAUGUUCUUCUUGCUCCAUACGGUGGAGUGAUCAUACUCAUUUUCCAAAUCAAUGUAAACAGUUCUUGCAUUGUAGUGAGAAAUUUUCACACCACCUUUGAGUGAAGUUUUAGCAAUGAAGAUCUUCCUGAUCACAUCCAUUUUGGGCAUAGUGUUUGAGAAUUUUCCUAUAACUGUAAACUUACAUCUUUUAGCAAACUUCACCAUAUAGUCUUCCUUCUUAAAAAUGACUGCUGACUUGCGUUGUUUGGUGGUAAUAAUUGGAGGGGAGAAUUGGAUGGGGGCUAUUUCUGCCUCGUGUCUGGCUCUCAAUCUAGUUACAUAGAAGUGGGUGACUGUUGGGGGUGGUGAGGGUGGGUUAAGGGGUAGUUUUGGUUUGUUUUGGUUGACAUUUGGCUGAGGGCUGACAGUGGAGAUUGGGUUGGAUUGAAGGGUUGUCGUUGGUUUCACCUGGGGUGGAUUUUGGUUUUUUCGGUUUCUCCUUGGAAAAUUUGUAAGAGAUUUUAGGAUUGGAGUUGGGGAUGACAUGGUUGUUUUGGACCUGUGAUUGUUGAUUUGUCUGGGUAUAGUCACUGAAAGGAGAACCAGCAGGGGUUGGCAAUUGUGAACCUAAAGGUUGAAGAGGUUCUAUAGUAGAAACCUUAGUUACAACAUCUGGAGAAGCAACAUUGGUCACAAGGCCAGUUGUGUUAAUAGUAUCAUCUAAUGCUUUUGGUUGGACACUUGUGAGAGAUAAAUCCGCAAAAAAACCAUUUUCAGCAUUCGAUAAGUAGGGCUCAUUUAAAUUGUAACCUGAGAGUUUGGAAGCAUUCUCUUGAAUCAUAAGGGUUGUUUGGCAUUGGUCUUGUGUUGUUUGGAUUACUGGAUCUCCAUUGCCGGCUAAUUGGUGAGUUUCAUAGUUUGCCUUUUGGGAAGAUUGACCAGUUCCUAUGUUGGACUGGUUAAAAACUUUACUUACCUGCUCCUUUGGAUGUGUAGAAACAUUUGUGAUUGGUUGUUGCAAUUCAAUUGCCCUAGAAGAGUAGGUAGCAUUUUGACCAUCAUCUGCAUGAGAAGAGUUUAGUGGAUGCAAGGCUUGUAGAAUUGAUGCGGUUGAUCGAUACCCGUUUAAAAUUGAUGGCGCUAAACUGAUAUCUUCAGCAGUACAACCCUUUUGGUACGUAGAAUUAUCAUUUUGGCCAGUUGGACCUCCAAUUCCGGGCACCUCUAUUUCACCGGAAUUAUUCAAUUGAGUGUUAAUAUUGAUUCCCAUGGUAGAAUUGACUAAUUUUUGGUGUUGAGGCUUGUUUUGUGAUGGAGAUGCAUCUCCAUGGAUUGGAAGUUCGUUUUUUUGACCCAGAAUCAUCAUGGGAUUUUUCCAAAAUUCCCAGGUGAUUUUUUGCUACAGUGACCUCGAUGCCCUUUUGAAGAUUCGUAGCGACUGGGAUAGAGGCUUGAGAUGAUUCUUGUACGAUUGUGUGCGUCUUUGAGAGACACUUUGUUUGCAUCUGGUCUGGUGGUUUUCCACCGGUGAAAGAUGGAGUAGCGGCCGUUUGACCACUGCGUUUGUACUGUAGCGUUAUAUCGCCUUGUACUCAGUGACCUAGAGAGACUUGUUUCGUCAUGAUUUAUGUUGGCUUAAUUUCAUGAUUUUGGUAAUCUGGUGAAUAUAUUUUGCUCUGUUUUGGUUGAAUGCUAUGUUAAUUCUCUUUACCUCAUCUCUGGUUUAUUUGUUUGUGUUGUAUGAAAACUCUUCUUUUUUUUUUAUCUUAAGCUCUUGUUCUUUAUUUUUGUAAGAUGAUUUUGCUAGACUAUUGUUGAGCUUUAGAAUAAUUAUGGCAGUAAUCAAAACGUAUUAGGUGAAUUAAUUUUUUUCUUGGUUUCAAAUCAUGGUAUUUUUAUUGGAUUGUAAAAUCAUAAUUUGGCUCUUACUGUUUAGUGAUUCUUUAUCUAAGCAUAUUCGUCUCUAAUUAGAGCUUAACUAUUUUGGAUUACUGAAGCUUGAGAAUGACGAGUCAUGUGAACUUUGUAAGUUA
This 4054-nucleotide long non-coding RNA is filed under the name Nicotiana benthamiana. RNAcentral describes it as "long non-coding RNA (NBEN_LNC012385)". Lineage: Eukaryota; Viridiplantae; Streptophyta; Magnoliopsida; Solanales; Solanaceae. The record is from RNAcentral.